AAACCAACAGGGAUUGCCUCAGUAACGGCGAGUGAAGCGGCAAAAGCUCAAAUUUGAAAUCUAGCACCUUCGGUGUUCGAGUUGUAAUUUGAAGAUGGUAACCUUGGGUUUGGCUCUUGUCUAUGUUCCUUGGAACAGGACGUCAUAGAGGGUGAGAAUCCCGUCUGAUGAGAUGCCCAUUCCUAUGUAAGGUGCUAUCGAAGAGUCGAGUUGUUUGGGAAUGCAGCUCUAAGUGGGUGGUAAAUUCCAUCUAAAGCUAAAUAUUGGCGAGAGACCGAUAGCGAACAAGUACAGUGAUGGAAAGAUGAAAAGAACUUUGAAAAGAGAGUGAAAAAGUACGUGAAAUUGUUGAAAGGGAAGGGCAUUAGAUCAGACUUGGUGUUUUACGAUUAUCUUCUCUUCUUGAGUUGUGCACUCGUAUUUCACUGGGCCAGCAUCGAUUCGGAUGGCAAGAUAAUGGCAGUUGAAUGUGGCUUCACUUCGGUGGAGUGUUAUAGCUUCUGCUGAUAUUGCCUGUCUGGAUCGAGGGCUGCG
Molecule: ribosomal RNA, 534 nt
Filed under: Hansenula anomala
Lineage: Eukaryota; Fungi; Ascomycota; Saccharomycetes; Phaffomycetales; Wickerhamomycetaceae
Description: eukaryotic LSU rRNA
Rfam family: Eukaryotic large subunit ribosomal RNA
Source: RNAcentral